GAGGCAGGUUGGGCAAUCGCGGUACUUUCGAGUAUCGAGGAAGGUCCGGACUCCAUAGGGCAGGGUAGCGGCUAACGGCCGUCCGGCAAGGGCUUGUGCGUGGCACAAGACCGAGCCGAGGAACAGGGCCACAGAGACGAGUCUGCCGCGAGGGCAUGCAUUGCAUGCACCAGCACGGCUAUCUCCGUGCUGAGCAGCCGGUUUACCGGUUGCUGCGCGGCAGGGUGAAACGCGGCAACCUCUACCCGGAGCAACAUCAAAUAGGCAUGUGCAGGCUUCGGCCCGAGGGGCGGCUCGCUCCAGCAUGCGGGUAGAUGGCUAGAGUGACGCAGCAAUGCGGCACCCAGAGGAAUGAUUGCCCGCCGGUUCUACCGGCGUACAGAAUCCGGCCUACAGACCUGUCUCACCU
This 409-nucleotide RNase P RNA is filed under the name Pollutimonas harenae. RNAcentral's name for it is "Pusillimonas sp. B201 Bacterial RNase P class A". It matches the Rfam family "Bacterial RNase P class A". From Rfam's summary of the family: Ribonuclease P (RNase P) is a ubiquitous endoribonuclease, found in archaea, bacteria and eukarya as well as chloroplasts and mitochondria. Its best characterised activity is the generation of mature 5'-ends of tRNAs by cleaving the 5'-leader elements of precursor-tRNAs. Lineage: Bacteria; Pseudomonadati; Pseudomonadota; Betaproteobacteria; Burkholderiales; Alcaligenaceae. The record is from Rfam by way of RNAcentral.